This 235-nucleotide unclassified non-coding RNA is filed under the name Hevea brasiliensis (rubber tree). The record is from RNAcentral. Lineage: Eukaryota; Viridiplantae; Streptophyta; Magnoliopsida; Malpighiales; Euphorbiaceae.
GAUAAGAAAGCGUCUGCAAAGAUUGGGGGAGGAAGCUUGAGAGGGAUGCGAGUUGAUUGCCUGUAGGAGGGAGAAACAGAGGAUCGCCAUGAAGUGCACACAGCCCGAAAUCGGUACACGUCGAUGCGACAAUCAAGGUGUUUUCCAAUUUUUUGCAGUAAUUCCUUUGGAAGAUUGGCCCACUGGUAAAGGGUAUUCCUAUCACUCAUCUCUCUCUCGCAGAUUGGUGAAGAGC